GAGCUGGAGAAAUGGUGCAGUGACUAAAUAGUUGUUGGGUGCGGUGGAAGAAGAGGUUGUCUGCGUGUGUGUUAUAACAGAAGCUGCUCUAGAAGGAUGCAAAUCUGUCUUCCCAUUUGAACAGAGAUUGAAGCACACAGAAGAGGACAGGAAGCCGUGAACAGGAUAUACGUAAAAAGUCAAAUGUUGGCAAUUAAAUGAAGGACAAGUGGGUAGAACCAACCUUUUUGGGAAUUUUUUAAAAUGAGUUAAUGAUCCAUUUCUUCAGCCUCAGAACCCAAAGGCCACCGCAGGACUGGACCGGACAGAUCCCACCUCCUUCCGGCACAGCACAGGGGCUGGCAAAGAGGAAGUACCAACGUCACACCCCACGGCCACGCCCACCCUCUCUGUGAGUGACAGGCCUAUCUGGAGAAACACAGGCUGUGACGCGGUUUACUAAAUCUGAAGUUUGAUUAAAAAAAAAAAAAAAAAAAAAAAGAAGCAAGGCAACAAGACGGGUCACUUUGUAUAUUUUUUAUUUUAAAAAGGAUAAAACAAUAAAAUCAAGCCAGUGUUUUGAUUAAUUUUAUUCUUUCUUAUCAAAAUUGAAACUUAUUAAACUGCAUAAUUUUUGUUGGUUUCUUCUCCCUCU
This is a long non-coding RNA of Cavia porcellus (domestic guinea pig), 634 nucleotides long. RefSeq lists it as uncharacterized. The transcript is spliced from 3 exons. The record is from RefSeq and is a predicted model, not a curated record. NCBI's taxonomy places the organism in Eukaryota, Metazoa, Chordata, Mammalia, Rodentia, Caviidae.